CCCGCGGCUUGGGCUGCGCAGCCGAACCGUCCUGCCUCGGCCUCCCUGGAGCGCACGGCAUGGGCACGCGCGGGCCCCGACCGCUGGUGGACACCACGCCGGCCAAGACCAUCCUCGUGUACCGCAACGGGGACCAGUUCUACAUGGGCCGCAAGUUCGUGCUCUCGCGGCGCCGCGUGGCCACGUUCGAGGCGCUGCUGGAGCAGCUGACCGAUCACGUGGCUGUGCCCUUUGGGGUGCGGCGCCUCUACACGCCCACGCGGGGCCACCAGGUGCUUGAGCUCGAUGCGGUGCAGACGGGAGCCAAGUACGUGGCGGCGGGCCGCGAACGCUUCAAGAAACUCGAUUAUAUUCAUAUAGUUCCCAGAAAACCUUCCAAGAUAAGAAAGCUGAAGGAAAUCAAACCUGUGGUGCAUUGCGAUAUAAAUGUGCCGUCCAGGUGGCAAACAUGUCAUCGAAUAUACCGUCAUAUAAAUGUUUUUACAAAUGGAAAGUUAUUUAGCCCACCUAUAAAAAUUAUCAUACCCAAAUUCAGCCUGUCAGAUUGGAGUAGCGUGCUGGCCACGAUCGGAGAAAAAGUCUUCCCUCUUGGAGGAGUGCGGAAGUUAUUUACCAUGAACGGACAUCUCUUAGACAACUCCAAGGAUUUGCAAGACAAUCAUUUUUAUGUUGCUGCAGGGCUGGAGACCUUCAAACACUACCCUUAUUGGAGGUCCCCCAGAGUCCCCAGUGAGGUCCAACAGAGAUACGCCGACUUGGAAAAGUGUUCACAGAGAAAGAAAAAAGUGGAGGCCAAAGAACUUCCUAAAUGUGAAGACAUUCCACCUGAAACGAAGGAUUCGGUUUAUUAUGCCAAAGAAGGAAAGAAGAAAACGUUGAUAGAACCUUUCAUCCUAAGUGGUGCAGAAGGUGAUGUGUACAAAGCCCGAACUCCUACCAAGGAUGCCCAAGGGGCUCUGGAUGUCAAGGAGGAUGCAGAUGUGAAGGUGGAGGUGCCAGUGGACCAGGUACCAGCUGAAAUGGUUAAAGAAGUGGACGAUGCUCAUGACAACACUCCUAAUUUUGAAGGCAUCAAGGAAAAAGAAGAAGAAAAGUGUUAUGAAGAUAUUGAAAAAAAGGGAGACAAUUCACGAGUGUCUUUUAAGAAAAUGUUUCCCUUAAGACACAACACAAAGAAAAAAGAAAAGAGGUUUAUAAAGUGGAUGCCUCAGAUAUUAAAAUACGAAGGUGGGAUUGACGUCCCUUUGGAGAAGUACCUCUGCGCCCCAGAGCGCCACCUAGUGACCAGAAAAGAACUCACCGGGCAACACAUGUAUAAAACGAUGCUUAGGACGCCGACGUGGUGCAAAGGAGAGCAAGCCCUGACCCUACACCCCAAAGACCUGGUAGUAGCCCUGGAGCUGCUCUGGAGGGGCUGCGUCAGCACAGGCCAGCUGCAGGGGCCCCACGUCCUCGUGGCAUCUCUCAAGAACUUCAACAAGAAUAAAAAAGUGGUUCCGCUUCCUGAAAAAGAACAAUAUGACAUUCUAGAGGGAAAAAAUACAUCUGUACUACGAGAAACUCCAGUAGAAAUAGAAGCCCAAAGACCAACACCAGUGGAACUGCGAACACAAGAACAUUUGUCACCAACACAAGGAGAACAAAGACUUGAGACACCACAACCUCCCGAAAGGUCAUCUUCUGAACAAACAUCGAAACAACAAACACCCGAGACACCACAGUCUCCUGAACCAUUGUCCUUUGAAAAAACAUCUCAAGGACAAAGACUCAAGACACCAAAAUCUCCUGAGUCAUUGUCCUCAGCAAAAACUUCCCAAGGACAAAGAUCCCAGACACCAAAAUCUUCUGAAUCAUUGUUCUCUGAGAAACCAUCUGAAAGACAAAGACCCAAGACACCCAAAUCUCCUAAACCAUUGUCCUCUGCAAGAUCAUCCCAAGGACAAAGAUCUCAGACCCCCAAAUCUCCUGAAUCAUUGUUCUCUGCAAAAACAUCCCAAGGACAAAGAUCCCAGACACCAGAAUCUCCUGAACCAUUGUCCUCUGAGAAACCAUCCCAAGGACAAAGAUCUGAGAUGCCAAAAUCUCCUGGACAAUUGCCUUUGGAACAGCUAUCCCAGGAACAAAGUCCUGAGCCACAGGAGUCCCCUCAGCCAUUAACCUUGGGACAAUGAGCUCAGAUACACAUGACUCAGGGACCAGAAGACAUACAAAUGCCACAAAAACAAAAUAUCAGCUGUGUUGUGAAGAGCAACCUUCUGAGGCUGAAAAGGAUCAUGAGACGAAUGAAAAUAAAAUUAUACACUUUUCCCCAUUUUAUGUGAAAGAGAUGACCUGGGAGUAGCAACCAACACCUCAACCCAAACACCUUUCUGUCUAUUUGAUGUCUUUUCUUCAACCGUGGGCUUGCACUUUGCACAUGGACAUUUUAACAGCAGGGAAACCAUGUUUGAGGAGAAACUAACGCCCCAUCCUGGUGACUUGUCAAAAGCUAAGAACAUUUGCCUAUGUAGUCCAUUGCACCACUUCCUUUGCCUGGUGAUAUUCUUUUUAGUAAACAUUUAAAAGAAUGAAA
RNA transcript from Chinchilla lanigera (long-tailed chinchilla), 2572 nucleotides. It is a transcript of the gene named doublecortin domain containing 2C, with no coding region annotated. The transcript has 16 exons. Lineage: Eukaryota; Metazoa; Chordata; Mammalia; Rodentia; Chinchillidae. The record is from RefSeq and is a predicted model, not a curated record.